RNAcentral lists this ribosomal RNA (253 nucleotides) under uncultured bacterium. Its description in RNAcentral is "partial 16S ribosomal RNA". It matches the Rfam family "Bacterial small subunit ribosomal RNA", at positions 524 to 776 of the family's 1533-position model. The record is from RNAcentral.
UACAGAGGGUGCAAGCGUUGUUCGGAAUUAUUGGGCGUAAAGGGAGUGUAGGCUGUGAGGUGAGUCUUCUGUGAAAUCUACGGGCUUAGCCUGUAACGUGCAGAGGAAACUGCUUCGCUUGAGUGUCGGAGAGGAUAGGGGAAUACCCGGUGUAGAGGUGAAAUUCGUAGAGAUCGGGUGGAACACCAGUGGCGAAGGCGCCUAUCUGGCUGACAACUGACGCUGAGACUCGAAAGCAUGGGGAGCAAACAGG